UCCCCCGACCCCGACGCGCCCUCUCUCCCACAUGCGACUCCUCUCCCCUCCCUGUCCCAUCGCAGUGGCUGUCGGUUCCUCCUCUCCCCUCCCCUCUGACUCCUCCUCUCCCCUCCCUACCCCAUCGCAAUGGCUGCCGGCUGGCUCGCCGAUGGGGGCGACGGCUAAGGACGCGGUGAUCGGGUGGUUCCAUGGCGAGUUCACGGCCGCCAACGGGAUGAUCGACGUGCAGAUCGGUGGCGGCAGGGCCGAGUACAAUCCACGCUCCAGCGCCGUCAUGUUAACUGGUUCCCCGUCCUCCACAUGCAGAAGUUCUACCCCCUCGCCGAUGUCACAUCCCUUGGAGCCGUCGUGGGGUGCUACUGCUACUUGGAGGAGGAAGCCGCUUCCACGGUGACACACGAGGCCACGGAAGACCUCCCCACUGAGGCUAUGCCCAAGGCCCUCUCCACGGAAGAUGACACAAUCACAGACAGGACAAGUACAAUCACUACUAACCCACAAAUUAAAUCCUCUCGUGCUCAAGGGAGAUUCUAUUGGAAUGGAUCACUCAUCCUAUGAUCAGGUACAAAGAUUCUUCACUUCAGCGCUAGCAAUAUGCCAUAAACACAUAAACACGUGUGUACAGAGAUUCUUCACUUCAGUGCUAGCCAUCAGAUGUUGUCAUAUAAGAAGGAUGGAGGUCUGUCAAAUAAGAAGAAGAAUCUGGAGCGCAGGGUGAAGAUUGCAGAGAUAUGGAUAGAGAAUUUGCAAACCUAUCUCUGAAACACAGCAAUCCCAGUUCAGGGCACGAAGCUCCUUUAUGUGAACAGGAAUUUCAUCCCAUAGUAGAAAAAAGAUGGAAAGGUUACUAACAGGGAAUUUCAUCCCAUAGUUCUUUCAGAAUGUCCACUUCUGUCUAUUGUUUGAGAAAUGACCCAUCAGUAAAUUUGUGUUUCCUUCAUGAGUUAA
Long non-coding RNA from Sorghum bicolor (sorghum), 951 nucleotides. RefSeq lists it as uncharacterized. The transcript has 3 exons. The record is from RefSeq and is a predicted model, not a curated record. NCBI's taxonomy places the organism in Eukaryota, Viridiplantae, Streptophyta, Magnoliopsida, Poales, Poaceae.